This 222-nucleotide long non-coding RNA is filed under the name Dermacentor andersoni. RNAcentral's name for it is "uncharacterized LOC126528442". The record is from RNAcentral. Lineage: Eukaryota; Metazoa; Arthropoda; Arachnida; Ixodida; Ixodidae.
CGUCUCUUUUGGAUGUAGCCGGUUUCUUGGACUCCCGGCGUUCUUUUGUGUUCCGUCUGCAUUUCGGCACGACACAGCUGCACUACUGAACUACAGCAAGCUGAUGGCAUCCGGUGGAGCUUCGUACGGCAACGACUGCUGCUUACCUGGUGCCACAACUUUGGAUGAAUGCAGAAUCCCGGAACGAGCAUUUAUAUAGAGCAAAAUAAACAUUUCAUCAUU